CCGGCGACCGGCGCACGGGUGAGUAACACGUAUGCAACCUGCCCUCUUCAGGGGGACAACCUUCCGAAAGGGAGGCUAAUCCCGCGUAUAUCGGUUUCGGGCAUCCGAGAUCGAGGAAAGAUUCAUCGGAAGAGGAUGGGCAUGCGGCGCAUUAGCUAGACGGCGGGGUAACGGCCCACCAUGGCGACGAUGCGUAGGGGUUCUGAGAGGAAGGUCCCCCACACUGGUACUGAGACACGGACCAGACUCCUACGGGAGGCAGCAG
Molecule: ribosomal RNA, 265 nt
Filed under: uncultured bacterium
Lineage: Bacteria
Description: partial 16S ribosomal RNA
Rfam family: Bacterial small subunit ribosomal RNA
Source: RNAcentral